GUACCUUUUUAAAGUUGAUUCAGUACUUUAUUAGGAUAAAAGACAAUGGUGAAGUAAAUCUCCAUAAAACCCAGAAAGAAAUUAUAAAACUCUUUGGAUCCUGUCUACAGUCACAGCU
This 118-nucleotide small nucleolar RNA is filed under the name Dasypus novemcinctus (nine-banded armadillo). RNAcentral's name for it is "Small nucleolar RNA SNORA26 (ENSDNOG00000031778.1)". It matches the Rfam family "Small nucleolar RNA SNORA26". Rfam says of the family: The snoRNA HBI-6 belong to the H/ACA family of snoRNAs, guiding the pseudouridylation of position U4522 if the 28S rRNA. Lineage: Eukaryota; Metazoa; Chordata; Mammalia; Cingulata; Dasypodidae. The record is from RNAcentral.